CCGAGACGGCCCUUCGUAUGAAGGCCUGACCUCACACCCUCUGUCGUCUUCCACUCUGUUGCCUCGGGAGGGGCCCCUCUGGCCGCGAGCGCGGCCUCGUGGGGGCCGCCCGGUGGACACUGGAUCAAACUCUGGUUACAUGCGUCCGAGUCGUCGUCAAACGAACGAAUUAAUCA
RNAcentral lists this unclassified non-coding RNA (176 nucleotides) under uncultured Dothideomycetes. RNAcentral's name for it is "sequence contains ITS1". Lineage: Eukaryota; Fungi; Ascomycota; Dothideomycetes. The record is from RNAcentral.